This is a long non-coding RNA of Salvator merianae (Argentine black and white tegu), 3417 nucleotides long. Lineage: Eukaryota; Metazoa; Chordata; Lepidosauria; Squamata; Teiidae. The record is from Ensembl.
CAAGAACUCAACAAGGGCUAGCACAGGAAGUGAAUGUGAUUGGGAAGAAAGUCUUAUAUAUAUCAACAAAGGUAAGUUGCAUGCCAGACAAAAUUGCAUGCCAGACAAUAGAAGAGUAUGUGGGUACUUUGUUUUAAUUAUAUGUAAUGUUGAAUCCCUUGCUACUGUAGUAACAAAUGUGUAACAUGAUUUUCUAAACUACUUUUAGAAAGCAUUAUCUGAUUUUGCUAUAUUUUAAUUUGUUUAAAUGGUUUUACCUGCUACCUGCCCUAGCUAAAAAGUGACUUUUUCAUUUAUUUAGUUGUUUUGAAUUAAUUUUUUGGUUAACUUUUUCUUAGAUCUGGUUGACUCUGACAGCGAAUCUGAUCUGCAUCUUCAUCUAACUAGUCCAUGCAGUUUGUCUGAAAAGAACAAAGAGAAACAGAAAUUUAGUGGAAUAAUACAAAUCUCAGAUAACAAGAGAAACAGAUUUAAAAAUUGUUGCAAAGCCUGUUCUCAGCUGAAUGCACAACAGUUAGAGAACACAAAACAAUUCCCAGUGGUGGUAUCUUCAGAAUCUGCAUUGUGUUUAAACCUAAAGGAUUACUAUACAAUUGAUCAUCCACUAAAAGUUUAUUUAUCUGAAAUACCUGCAUUCCCAUCCAAGCAUGCUCAGUCUUGUAGAGACCACCAGUGUUUAAACAGUAGAUGUCCUCAUGCAAGUAUUUUUAAGAAGUUAAAAAGAAAGAAAAACUUUUAUACAAUUAAGAAAGCUUAUGCAUUUGAUAAGCUACAUAAGAAUCAUCUAUCCAAUGAUUAUCUUCCUACUUCAAAGAAGAACAAAGCUGUGCAAGUUUCUUUUCCUUGUAGAGAAACAGAAGCUGGAGAAAAUAUUCCCCCUGAAUUUUUCAGCCAAUCAGUAGUCCCUGCUGAGAUAAGCAAAACUCCAGCUGAGCAUCCUAUAGAAUUUCACAGUGCUGAAAGUAUUUACAGUAAAAACACAAAUUCUAGUCAACCAAUAACAGACAAUUUAGAUUACUCUUCAGAAAUAAAUUAUAAAUCUGACAAUCCCCAGAUAGCUGAUAGAACCUGCUCAAACACUGAUUCUAAAAAACUCGUUAUCUGCUUGACACUAGAAGCAGUGUAUGGCAGUCUUGGUGAUUCCUUGGAAGAAAACUGCACCUCUUCAAAUGCUGGGGUGAGCAAAGAAGAUUCAGAGAGGCAUACUUUAGCUUUUAAAUUGGAAGACCCUGAACAUAAACAGCUGUUUAAGAAGCUGCGCAUUUUUAUUGUUCCAAGUUCUGAGUCUUUAGAUACAGAAAGGCAUAAUCGGAUUGGAUCUUUCACAAAAGAGGCAGGACUUUCAGAGACUCCAGCAGAUGAAGGCAAACAGCUUAUAACAAUCCAUAUUGAAUCUUCUGAAUCUAGCCAACUUCAAGCAACCUGGACAGAAUCUUCAGAAUCCAGUCGUUUCAACUUUCACAUUGAUCAAAAUCUUUCUAAACAACUGCAGACAAAUCAGUCUUCUCACUUUGUCAGGUUAUUGCCCCAUUGCAAGGUUAUACCUAUUUGUAGAACUUCCAAAGUUCAGAAAGCUCAACCAAAGGCAUCCAGGAAUGUAAAUUCAUUUGUGUUUACCAAAGGCAAGAGAGUGCAAAAUCCUCCAAAGUUUCAAGUUGAGCAUUCUGUCUCCCCAAAAUUUCAUUGGUCCAAGGAUUUGGAUAAUGAAUCGAUAAAUCAAAGUACUCAAAAAUCAAAAGCAAUAGAAAUAAAUGAGCUAUGUUAUGUUCUACUAUCGGAGACUCCUAAAUGUUACUGCAGCCCAUUGCUUGACUUGGCUGUUGACUUAUAUUGUGAAGGAAAAUUUUCAAAGAAAUUCCCAAGUUUCCACAGAAAAUGUGACAUACAAACAACAGGUGCCAAAUUAACACAAAGAUUUUCCCCUCAUUGCGUCUUAAAUCAUAGAAAAGCUAAUUUUAACAGGCUUCAAUACAUUUCUCCAGUAAGAAAAAAAAACAAUUUGAAAAUGCAAAGAAUAUUGAACUAUUGUCUAGGAAGGACUGAAGAUCAGCAGGUGCACUGGAAUCAUGAAGGAAAGGUUUGUUCUGCUCCAGGUGCUGCAAGUACAGGGAGGAAUGGGAUUGUUACUUCACAUCCCACAACUGAUGGGAGUUGCACUGUACCUGUCCUCCCAGGUUCAAGNGAUAGUCCAGUUUCACCACCUAGUAUGCACUGUCUUUCAGAUGAGAGGAGACAUUCACCUAUUCCCUGUUUACACAGUGAGACAGGCCGUCCUGCAUCUCAGCAUUUUAUUUCAAAUGAAAAGAUACUUUCUUCUACUCCCUGUACACAAACUGAAAGGAAUACUUGGAAUCCAGCAAUAUUGCAUGAUAAAUGUAAUAUGUCUCAUUCUCCNUGUCGUGCAAAAAUUGUUCAAGUAGUGCAGCCACAAAAACAAAGGAAUAUGUUUAAGAAUACAGAAAUGGAGAAGUUGGAUUUUGGAGCUACCCAGGGAGUUGGUGGAGACUUAGUCCUCAAGAAGUUUUCAUUCUGCCCAUGUGGAAUUAUGCCACAGUCCAGCUUGUUUCCUGGUAAAGAUAUGUCAGAAUCCAUUAGAGCAAAUCCUGUUGUUAAUCAGACACCCAAUACGAUUGAAUUGGACCAACUGAAUUCUUCUGUAGGGACUUUCAGCACUGAACACGCCUGCUGUGCUAGUAGAUGUUGUGUCUCUCCACCUAGUUCUCCACACAAUAUAGACAAAGAAGAAGCAUCAAGAAACCACUUCAUUAAAGUACGGUCCUACUUUGAGAAUGGGUUACCCAAGAAAAACCUCAAUGAAGAUUUGGCCCAUAGAAGUAAAGCAGAAAAAACAGGUGAAAGAAAAAAUGUUAGGUUCCAUAUAGGGCCUGGUUUAAAAGAGGUUGGUCCAUUAGGCACGUACACUGCAUCAUCUAAUGAUCAAAUUCCAAAACAUUUUGUUUAUCACACUGAAUGUUCAUGUUGCUCAUGCUGCCAGUCUCCUGUUCAUGAAUCCCUUGGAACAUCAAAAGAAAUACAUAAUGGUUUCAGCUCAAGACAUGACAUGCUUAAAAAGUGCCUAAACAGAGAUAGUAUUUUUCUGAUAGAUCCUGGUGAGGCAACUAGAAGUCAAUGUAAAUGUUCUCAAGAAAUUCCUCUUUUCCACAUCAACCAAACUGCUAUGCAUAAGGGGAAAAGAGCAGUGACUUCCAAGAGGAAGGAGUCUGACUGUGUUCAGGGUUCUUCACAAAUUAAUUGUGGCGGGAAAAGACAUGAUGACAACUGCAGAUGCUGCUCAGGCAAAGUUCAGUACAUUCGUUUGCAAUGAAAUGGCAGUGAUUUAGAUGAUGAGAGACACAUGUAUGUCGGUGCUUUCUUUAGAUAGAUCCUCCAUAAAUAAAACACCACUAAAGACAGUCA